GUUUUCCUACGGGGCGCAGCAGUGGGGGAUAUUGCACAAUGGGGGGAACCCUGAUGCAGCGACGCCGCGUGAACGAAGAAAUAUUUCGGUAUGUAAAGUUCUAUCAGCAGGGAAGAAAAUGACAGUACCUGACCAAGAAGCCCCGGCUAACUACGUGCCAGCAGCCGCGGUAAUACGUAGGGGGCGAGCGUUAUCCGGAUUUACUGGGUGUAAAGGGAGCGCAGGCGGCGUGGCAAGUCAGAUGUGAAAACCCGGGGCCAAACCCCGGGAGUGCAUUUGUAACUGCCAUGCUGGAGUGCCGGAGG
This 305-nucleotide ribosomal RNA is filed under the name uncultured bacterium. RNAcentral's name for it is "bacterial SSU rRNA". It matches the Rfam family "Bacterial small subunit ribosomal RNA", at positions 333 to 655 of the family's 1533-position model. The record is from RNAcentral.